CAAAUUUUAGCUUAAAAAGUAUUUCAUUUACAUUGAAAAGUUAUAAAGAAUAAUUUCUUUAAAUUUGA
RNAcentral lists this transfer RNA (68 nucleotides) under Molanna truncata. RNAcentral describes it as "tRNA-Val". It matches the Rfam family "tRNA". Rfam says of the family: Transfer RNA (tRNA) molecules are approximately 80 nucleotides in length. Their secondary structure includes four short double-helical elements and three loops (D, anti-codon, and T loops). Lineage: Eukaryota; Metazoa; Arthropoda; Insecta; Trichoptera; Molannidae. The record is from RNAcentral.